UACGUAGGGUGCAAGCGUUAAUCGGAAUUACUGGGCGUAAAGCGUGCGCAGGCGGCUUUGCAAGACAGAUGUGAAAUCCCCGGGCUCAACCUGGGAACUGCAUCUGUGACUGCAUCGCUGGAGUGCGGCAGAGGGGGAUGGAAUUCCGCGUGUAGCAGUGAAAUGCGUAGAUAUGCGGAGGAACACCGAUGGCGAAGGCAAUCCCCUGGGCCUGCACUGACGCUCAUGCACGAAAGCGUGGGGAGCAAACAGG
This 253-nucleotide ribosomal RNA is filed under the name uncultured bacterium. RNAcentral describes it as "partial 16S ribosomal RNA". It matches the Rfam family "Bacterial small subunit ribosomal RNA", at positions 524 to 776 of the family's 1533-position model. The record is from RNAcentral.